This is a long non-coding RNA of Physeter macrocephalus (sperm whale), 1228 nucleotides long. RefSeq lists it as uncharacterized. Lineage: Eukaryota; Metazoa; Chordata; Mammalia; Artiodactyla; Physeteridae. The transcript has 5 exons. The record is from RefSeq and is a predicted model, not a curated record.
UUGCAGACGGAGAAGAUGGAGGCAGGGAAGGAAAGUGAUCGGAAGGCGAAGCAGCGAGGCCCUGAGCCUCUGAAGUGUCCAUACCUCCGCGGAGGUAUGGGAGGAGGGAGAGGACACUGACGGCCUUGUGCGGGGUCGGGCGGGGGACAGAGGCCGGCAAGCCUGGCCCUCGCCCGGCUCAGGGCCGGAGCCCAGCAGCCUCCUUCUCCUGGACGCUUGUCCGCGCCACCCCCCAGCUAGGGCAGAGAAGCUUCUGGCAGGAGCGGGGCAAGCAUCAGUGACCAGCACAGGGUGUGAAAAACUCCCUCGUCCUCGGGAGCCAUUGGCACAGCUGUGGGAAGGCUAACAUCUGGCGCGUGGCCGCCGGGUGACCUCCUGGAUCCAGGGAGGAGCUGGUGCUUGAGUAACUCCAGGGCCCGAGAGCGGAGAGAGGCCGCUGCCGACCUUCCCCCCUCCCCCUGCUCGGACCGGGCGGCAGCGACGGCCCGAGUGGAGGGCAGAAUUCAGGGACAGAGCUCCCCGGGCCCCAGCUCGAGCUGGGCCUCCCGCGGCCGCAGAAGUGCGGCGCCGGCCUGCUUUUCUGAACAGUCCCUCCCGCGGGCUCCCUGUCAUCCCCGGCCUCGGCCCUCCGUCCCGCCUCCCACCGCCACGGCGCUGACGAGCCACCGAGAAGCAGAGCCCAGGGAAGAGCCUUCCCUCCCAUGGGGAAAAGCAUGCCCGUCUGACACCUCGCCUGCCUGCUCCCGGUGACGCAUUCACCUGUCCUUGCCGCUGCCCCUGCUCUGUGCAGUCCCCACACCGCACUCCCCAGCCUGCUGCCUCCUGCUCCAACCUCCGCCAGGAUGACUGUGUGCCCCUCCCUCACUUCGGCUAAAUACAGAAAUGGCUUCCCAGGCCUGCGAGCUGGGUAGUUAUACCGAACCCCACGCUUAGAAGGGCCCUGUGUUGGGUUUAAUGCUCUGCUGUGGCUGCCUUAAAAGUCUUGAUAAUUUUUGCACAAGGGCCCCACACCUUCAUUUUGCACUGGAUCCUGCAGAUGUGAAGCUGGUGCCGGCCUCAGAAUGCAGUGGAAGAAACAUGGAACUUUCAAGCCCAGGUUAUAAAAGGUAUUGUUGGCCCUACCUACAAGCAGGGGAGUGCUGUCACUGAAGCCACCUGGACGGAUGGGUGGGCCAGCCAGCCUCUCCUGGCCCCUCACAGUGGACCCUGUAGUAUCUGGGACAAUGUG